Zalophus californianus (California sea lion) is the source of this 1338-nucleotide long non-coding RNA. RefSeq lists it as uncharacterized. The record is from RefSeq and is a predicted model, not a curated record. Lineage: Eukaryota; Metazoa; Chordata; Mammalia; Carnivora; Otariidae. The transcript has 4 exons.
CCCGCCGCUGGCGCUGGGGCACGCGGGGACCCCGGGGCCGCGCGCCUGGCCUCGUGGAACCCAGAGCGGCGCUGGCCACCACGCCGGGUCGGGUUCCCGCGGGAGGCCGGGCGCGACCCACCCCGCAGGACGGCGCGUGGCUGUGGGGAAGGGGGGGUGCUGCUGGCCCCUCCCCGCCCGCCCGCUGCCGCGCGGUCCGCCAGUCCCUGCCAUCCCCGCGCGCUCCCUCCGCACGCCCAGGCGCAGUGCCCGCCGCGGCCCGUUUCAUCCUCCGCACCAGCCUCCCGCGGCGGGAUUACCCACAUUUUGUACCAACGAAGGCCUCCACCCUCCGGGAAGACAGCCACUGACCCAAGGUGACACGGCUGGAAAGGAAGAGUGGAGGGACUUGAAUCCAGGACUUUUUUUUUCCUUUUACUCUACUCCGCGUGGCCCCUGGCGGCUAGGGUGCGGGGGAACCUAUCUGUAGCCCCGUGCGACCUGUGCGGUGACUCCCCGGUUGCGCCUCCAGGGGACUGGCUGGGUUUGGAGGCAUCGGCUGCCGUGAUGCAGGUCAUUUUCCUAGUUGGGUGAGGAGACGCUUCAGACGUGAGAUGAGCUACAGCUGGUAGCUGGUUCUCUCCUGGGAUGUGCGUUUAGAUCCCCAUCUUGUUGAUCCCAAAGACUCUACCUGCACCCAAGAUCUGAAAGUUUUAAUGUAGGUCAUUCAACCAAGUGGAAAGAACCACAGCAUCCCUUUGUAAUGGUGGGAAAACCAAGACUAUCACUUUAAUUCUGUACCUGAUCAUGUCCACUUUACCUCGGCCACUAGGAAACUCAGAACCAAAUGAAGUACAUAAAACUUUAGGAGAACUGCUGGAUCAAGGGUAUGCAUGUGUUAAAUUUUGAUAGACACUGCCAAAUUGCCUUCCAGGAAGAUUGACCAAUUUGCACUUCUACCAACUAUGAAAGAGUACCCUUUGUUCACAUUCUCAUCAACAAUGGAGAGUGCCAGUUUUUAAAAUUUUGGCAGAACUGAUUGACAAGAACACAGUACUUAUUUUAAUUUGUCUUUUGCCAGUAGUAAGGCUGAUCAUCAUUUUUAGUCCUUUUUACUAUGGCUACAAUGAAAGACAAAGUUGAAGGUGUGGUUUUGGUUUCUUUUUGAUACAGAUGACCAUCAAAACAGUGAUAUUUUGAACUAUUGAUCCCUACGAAGAUCCACAUGUGAAUGUUACACAUUUCCAUGUCAGGAAAGUCAAUCGUAAUUGAACUCCUAAGGUCAAAUUGUAACUGGUGUUUAUUCUUGGAUUCAUUUAAUGGCUUUGGUCCAAAGUAUUAAAAGAUGUCAGAACUGUA